Molecule: ribosomal RNA, 490 nt
Filed under: uncultured bacterium
Lineage: Bacteria
Description: partial 16S ribosomal RNA
Rfam family: Bacterial small subunit ribosomal RNA
Source: RNAcentral
GAUGAACGCUAGCGAUAGGCUUAACACAUGCAAGUCGAGGGGCAGCAUGGUCUUAGCUUGCUAAGACUGAUGGCGACCGGCGCACGGGUGCGUAACGCGUAUGCAACUUGCCUCACAGAGGGGGAUAACCCGUCGAAAGACGGACUAAUACCGCGUACACUCCAUCUUGGGCAUCCAAGGUAGAGGAAAUGAAAUUCGCUGUGAGAUAGGCAUGCGUCCCAUUAGCUAGUUGGUGAGGUAACGGCUCACCAAGGCGACGAUGGGUAGGGGAACUGAGAGGUUGAACCCCCACACUGGUACUGAGACACGGACCAGACUCCUACGGGAGGCAGCAGUGAGGAAUAUUGGUCAAUGGGCGAGAGCCUGAACCAGCCAAGUCGCGUGAAGGAUGGCUGUCUUAUGGAUUGUAAACUUCUUUUAUACGGGAAUAACAAGAGUCACGGGUGACUCCCUGCAUGUACCGUAUGAAUAAGCAUCGGCUAACUCCGUG